Molecule: ribosomal RNA, 1548 nt
Filed under: Klebsiella aerogenes
Lineage: Bacteria; Pseudomonadati; Pseudomonadota; Gammaproteobacteria; Enterobacterales; Enterobacteriaceae
Description: bacterial SSU rRNA
Rfam family: Bacterial small subunit ribosomal RNA
Source: RNAcentral
AAAUUGAAGAGUUUGAUCAUGGCUCAGAUUGAACGCUGGCGGCAGGCCUAACACAUGCAAGUCGAGCGGUAACACAGAGAGCUUGCUCUCGGGUGACGAGCGGCGGACGGGUGAGUAAUGUCUGGGAAACUGCCUGAUGGAGGGGGAUAACUACUGGAAACGGUAGCUAAUACCGCAUAACGUCGCAAGACCAAAGUGGGGGACCUUCGGGCCUCAUGCCAUCAGAUGUGCCCAGAUGGGAUUAGCUAGUAGGUGGGGUAAUGGCUCACCUAGGCGACGAUCCCUAGCUGGUCUGAGAGGAUGACCAGCCACACUGGAACUGAGACACGGUCCAGACUCCUACGGGAGGCAGCAGUGGGGAAUAUUGCACAAUGGGCGCAAGCCUGAUGCAGCCAUGCCGCGUGUAUGAAGAAGGCCUUCGGGUUGUAAAGUACUUUCAGCGAGGAGGAAGGCGUUAAGGUUAAUAACCUUGGCGAUUGACGUUACUCGCAGAAGAAGCACCGGCUAACUCCGUGCCAGCAGCCGCGGUAAUACGGAGGGUGCAAGCGUUAAUCGGAAUUACUGGGCGUAAAGCGCACGCAGGCGGUCUGUCAAGUCGGAUGUGAAAUCCCCGGGCUCAACCUGGGAACUGCAUUCGAAACUGGCAGGCUAGAGUCUUGUAGAGGGGGUAGAAUUCCAGGUGUAGCGGUGAAAUGCGUAGAGAUCUGGAGGAAUACCGGUGGCGAAGGCGGCCCCUGGACAAAGACUGACGCUCAGGUGCGAAAGCGUGGGGAGCAAACAGGAUUAGAUACCCUGGUAGUCCACGCCGUAAACGAUGUCGACUUGGAGGUUGUGCCCUUGAGGCGUGGCUUCCGGAGCUAACGCGUUAAGUCGACCGCCUGGGGAGUACGGCCGCAAGGUUAAAACUCAAAUGAAUUGACGGGGGCCCGCACAAGCGGUGGAGCAUGUGGUUUAAUUCGAUGCAACGCGAAGAACCUUACCUACUCUUGACAUCCAGAGAACUUAGCAGAGAUGCUUUGGUGCCUUCGGGAACUCUGAGACAGGUGCUGCAUGGCUGUCGUCAGCUCGUGUUGUGAAAUGUUGGGUUAAGUCCCGCAACGAGCGCAACCCUUAUCCUUUGUUGCCAGCGGUCCGGCCGGGAACUCAAAGGAGACUGCCAGUGAUAAACUGGAGGAAGGUGGGGAUGACGUCAAGUCAUCAUGGCCCUUACGAGUAGGGCUACACACGUGCUACAAUGGCAUAUACAAAGAGAAGCGACCUCGCGAGAGCAAGCGGACCUCAUAAAGUAUGUCGUAGUCCGGAUUGGAGUCUGCAACUCGACUCCAUGAAGUCGGAAUCGCUAGUAAUCGUAGAUCAGAAUGCUACGGUGAAUACGUUCCCGGGCCUUGUACACACCGCCCGUCACACCAUGGGAGUGGGUUGCAAAAGAAGUAGGUAGCUUAACCUUCGGGAGGGCGCUUACCACUUUGUGAUUCAUGACUGGGGUGAAGUCGUAACAAGGUAACCGUAGGGGAACCUGCGGUUGGAUCACCUCCUUACCUUAAAGAA